CUUUUUUUUUUUCCCCCAUAGGCGAACAAUGAUGCUGAAGUCACUGAGCCUAAAAGAAGGUCAGAGAGGUUGGUAAACAAACCUGCACCUUCAAAGGCAGAGCCUAAGCCAAAGAAGGCGGCUGCCAAACCUAAGAAAACAAAGGAACCCAAGGAGCCCAAGGAGGAGGAGAAGAAAGAGGAGGUGCCCGCAGAAAACGGAGAAACGAAAGCUGACGAAGAGGCAACGGAAGACGCUGACAAGAAGGGAGAAGACGGGGAAUAACUUUGCUGAGGUCUCAUC
This is a long non-coding RNA of Sinocyclocheilus anshuiensis, 282 nucleotides long. RefSeq lists it as uncharacterized. The record is from RefSeq and is a predicted model, not a curated record. Lineage: Eukaryota; Metazoa; Chordata; Actinopteri; Cypriniformes; Cyprinidae. The transcript has 5 exons.